Molecule: ribosomal RNA, 356 nt
Filed under: Staphylococcus aureus
Lineage: Bacteria; Bacillati; Bacillota; Bacilli; Caryophanales; Staphylococcaceae
Description: partial 23S ribosomal RNA
Rfam family: Bacterial large subunit ribosomal RNA
Source: RNAcentral
CGUAACUUCGGGAGAAGGGGUGCUCUUUAGGGUUAACGCCCAGAAGAGCCGCAGUGAAUAGGCCCAAGCGACUGUUUAUCAAAAACACAGGUCUCUGCUAAACCGUAAGGUGAUGUAUAGGGGCUGACGCCUGCCCGGUGCUGGAAGGUUAAGAGGAGUGGUUAGCUUCUGCGAAGCUACGAAUCGAAGCCCCAGUAAACGGCGGCCGUAACUAUAACGGUCCUAAGGUAGCGAAAUUCCUUGUCGGGUAAGUUCCGACCCGCACGAAAGGCGUAACGAUUUGGGCACUGUCUAAACGAGAGACUCGGUGAAAUCAUAGUACCUGUGAAGAUGCAGGUUACCCGCGACAGGACGGA